This 253-nucleotide ribosomal RNA is filed under the name uncultured bacterium. RNAcentral describes it as "partial 16S ribosomal RNA". It matches the Rfam family "Bacterial small subunit ribosomal RNA", at positions 524 to 776 of the family's 1533-position model. The record is from RNAcentral.
UACGUAGGUGGCAAGCGUUAUCCGGAUUUACUGGGUGUAAAGGGCGUGUAGGCGGGAAAGCAAGUCAGAUGUGAAAACCACGGGCUCAACCUGUGGCCUGCAUUUGAAACUGUUUUUCUUGAGUACUGGAGAGGCAGACGGAAUUCCUAGUGUAGCGGUGAAAUGCGUAGAUAUUAGGAGGAACACCAGUGGCGAAGGCGGUCUGCUGGACAGCAACUGACGCUGAGGCUCGAAAGCGUGGGGAGCAAACAGG